Molecule: unclassified non-coding RNA, 2687 nt
Filed under: Leishmania donovani
Lineage: Eukaryota; Euglenozoa; Kinetoplastea; Trypanosomatida; Trypanosomatidae
Description: gene:LdHU3.17.2130(CDS-product:Major_Facilitator_ Superfamily_putative)
Source: RNAcentral
CAGCAACCAACCAUUCACCCCCCCAGCAUUGACGGCUGCGCUGCUUUGAAGACCGAUGCUAACCGGAUCUGAUGUUCUGCAAACGCGAGAGAGGGGGCUUGAAGGCGCCCAGGAGUCUAUGCUGCCCUCAUUCCCUUCGAUUCAGGAUGCAAAGAAGUUCGGCGGCAGCCAUCUACCAGACUCUGUCAGUGUGGCGGAGAACUGCAGAGACGGCAGCGAGUCGGAUGAUGUCAUCAAAGCAACGCCGUUUCGCUUCGUCAUCGUGGCGCUGUUCGCUGCCUUUGGCUUCAUCAACCAAGUGCAGUACGUCGCGUUUGCCUCGAUCACUCGCGAGACACAAACUUACUUCGGCGUCAGCGCUCUCGAGGUGAACCUCCUCAUCCUUCUUAUUCCGAUCGUCUACGUGCUUGGUGUGAUACCCGGCUGCUUUGUGUACAAUAAGGUAGGUCUGCGCUAUGGCAUGAUCAUCGGCGCGGCACUGAACGCCUUCGCUUCGGUACUGAAGCUCGUUGCCGUCUGGGCCCCCAAGUACCCUCUCCUCGUCGUUGCCCAGGUGUUCGUGGCAGGAGGGCAGAUUCUCUUCCUGAGCCUGCCCCCUCUCAUCGCCGGCAUUUGGUUCCCCCCGAAUGAGCGAACAGUGGCGACGGCGGUAGCGUCGCUGAUGGGGUUUGCCGGCAUGGCGGUCGGCAUGUUCUACUCACCGAACGUCAUCUUUCUGCCGGACCAUAACACUCGGAAGGAGUGGGGGGCGUCGAUGGGGUCGCAAUUCGGCUUUUCCACGUUGGUGCUGCUCCUCAUGCUGGCUCUCGCAAGCGACAAGCCCAAGCACCGUCCCUCGUUCACGUCCACGGAACACUACAAACUGCCGCUGCUCAAGUUCCUGAAGUCGCAGUUUCAGCACUUAAACUUUGUGCUCCUGACGGUUGCCUUCGGUCUGAUUACAGGCUUCUUCACGGCCGUCGCCGGGAUACUGGCGCAGCUCUUAGAACCCUUCGGCAUUAGCGAGACCAAGUCAGGCAUUCUCGCCUUCUCUGGGAUUCUAGGUGGCGCCGCGAACUGCGCACUCGUAGGCACCUUUGUGGAUCGAACGCAUUACUACAAAUGCACAGCGCUGACACUCGCGGCAAUCUCGACAGCGCUGUUACUCGUGGUAGUUAUCGUCGCCAAGGCGCCGAUCAAUUUGGGCGCGGUGACGCUUGCCUUCUACAUCUUAGUCCCGUUUCUCGCGUUUUUGGUGCUGCCGAUUGUGCCAGUGGUGAUGGAGCUGGCGGUGGAGCUAACAUACCCCUGCCCUGAGACCGUAUCAUCUACCAUCGUUCUCGCUUCGAUGUGCUUCGUGUCUUUUGCGGGCAUGGUUGUCUUUUCUCUUAUUCUCGGAGACAAGCCAACUAUGGACAGUAGCCUCUACGUUCUCCUCAUCACCCUUCUCGUGUCCGCAGUGAGCCUUGGGAUGCUGUUCUUUGUAAAGGAGCAGCUGCGCCGGAAGGCCCAGGACAAAAUCCUUUGCGAGACCGGGAACGGGAGCGCUUCUCAGGCCGUCAAGCGCCCGACUGCAGAAACGGAUGUGCCCGCAGCUGAUGCGCGAGCGCAAAGUCCAUUAUAGAGCGCUUCUCGUGCCAUCGCUCACGGCGUUCAUGAGCUCAGGAGACCACAGGUGACUUGAGCGGCACUGUUGCUUCUCUCUUUCCAGCUUGCUGUCGUUUUCGUUCUGCUUUUCUUUUAUUGUGGAGGGACACGUCGUUCCGUCGGCUUCCCUCCUCCUACGCCUCUGAGCGCCUGAUGCUGCUGCCUCCCCAUUUGCCUGCGUUGUCAAACUUUGCUCGCUUGUUCUCCCCCCAUGAUGACGGCGGGGGCACACACACACACACACACACACAGAGACCGCUCUCCGCGCGUGGCGUCUGAGGGUCCCGCACCCAGCUCUCCGUGUGGAAGGCGGCCGAGCAGCCCCCCUCCCCCUGCUGUAUCCCUGCCAAAUGCCGAACCGCCUGCGGUGCGGACAUGGCCAAGUGCCGACGACGUGUGGGAGGUCUGGGCGCCGUGUGGGAGCGACGUGUGGGGCGGGUGGUGGGUGGGUGGAGCUUGCGGCAGGGGGUCGUGCUCUCCGAUGCCUGAGCCGGCGCAUUGCUGGAAGGCGUGCGUCCAGGGCUGCGUCGCACGACGCGAUGGGUGGCCUGUGGCAGGGCCGGUGGGGUGCGGCGUUCAGCUGAGUUUCGUAUUUUUGCUUGCCUGUGUGCUUGUCUCUCUCUUCGUCGUGCGGUAUGAGUGGGGCCUCUUCCUCAGGGUGGGGCUCCACCGCUGAAAAGAAGCGCAGAGAAAUUACGAGUCGUGAUGGAAGGCGGAAAAGACCGUCGAUAGGCAACAGGAAGAGCGCCUACGGCUCGCAAUUCUUGAAGCAGUGCGGAUCGAUUCGAAGGAAACCCAUAGAGGACUGCUGCGUGUUCUCUCGCGCAUAUGCCAUCGAAGGCGCUCGCUGCGUACCCGUUGAUGCCCGCUCGCGUGCCUCCGUUGUGAGCGUUCGCGAAGGUCGUGAAGUUCUUAGAAAACCACGUUCCGAGGCAUACAGCAACGAAUACACCCACCCACAUACACGUACGCACACACACACACACACCCAUGUACACCCGCUCGCUGUCUCGCUCCAUUCAUGCGUUGAGCUGCUCGCCUCUCUCUGUUCUUCCUUCGUC